This 478-nucleotide ribosomal RNA is filed under the name uncultured bacterium. RNAcentral's name for it is "bacterial SSU rRNA". It matches the Rfam family "Bacterial small subunit ribosomal RNA", at positions 28 to 523 of the family's 1533-position model. The record is from RNAcentral.
GACGAACGCUGGCGGCGUGCUUAACACAUGCAAGUCGAGCGGUAAGGCCCUUUCGGGGGUACACGAGCGGCGAACGGGUGAGUAACACGUGAGUAAUCUGCCCUUCACUUCGGGAUAAGCACCGGAAACGGUGUCUAAUACUGGAUAUGAGCAUCCUGCGCAUGUGGGGUGUUGGAAAGUUUUUCGGUGGGGAUGUGCUCGCGGCCUAUCAGCUUGUUGGUGAGGUAAUGGCUCACCAAGGCUUCGACGGGUAGCCGGCCUGAGAGGGUGACCGGUCACACUGGGACUGAGACACGGCCCAGACUCCUACGGGAGGCAGCAGUGGGGAAUAUUGGACAAUGGGCGGAAGCCUGAUCCAGCAACGCCGCGUGAGGGAUGACGGCCUUCGGUUGUAACCUCUUCUAGUACUGACGAAGCGCAAGUGACGGUAGGUACAGAAGAAGACACCGGCCAACUACGUAGCCAGCAGCCGCGGUAA